GAAGAGAGAGUUCAAGAGUACGUGAAACUGUUCAGAGGUAAACGGGUGGGCCCUCGAAAUCCUGUGGCGGGAUCAUUCAGUUGCGAGAGCCCGCGACGCGUCGCCUGGAGUGUUUAGGUUCCCGUGACGGGGCCGUUCUGGCGAUGUCGUAGUAGGCGAUCCGACGCAUUUGUUUCCUGCCCGAAGGACGCCGCAACCGGUUGGAGGACGACCUUAGGGGCGAGAACUGGCAGGUGACUGGUAGCCGUAGCUUUCCUCUCGUGGCCGGUUGUUAGCCUUUUCGCCACACGGGACGUCCGCCGACCGUGGCAAUAGAGAGGCCUUGUUGGGCUUCGUCGUCUCCUCCCAUGGUAGCGGGUGAAGAAACGCGACAGGGGCUCGUCGCGGCGUGGGCGCACAGACUGACUCUGUGGCCAGGCGCUGCCUUGUCCCCGUUGGUUGCGUAAGCCCCGCGGGAGUGCGUGACGGUUAGCGGCGAGUAGAUCGGUCACCCACCCGACCCGUCUUGAAACACGGACCAAGGAGUAUAACAUGUGUGCGAGUCAAUGGGACUCGAAUAAGCCCAGAGGCGCAAUGAAAGCGAAGGCAGGAGGACUCCUGCCGUGUCGAGACUCCGCACCUUUGCGUGCGGAGCGCAUCGACGACCCGCUCAUGUCCGCUCGCGGACGGGGCGGAGUCCGAGCACACACGUUGUGACCCGAAAGAUGGUGAUCUAUGCCCGGACAGGACGAGGCCAGAGGAAACUCUGGUGGAGGU
RNAcentral lists this ribosomal RNA (756 nucleotides) under Tenuiphantes sp. 19 SL-2010. RNAcentral describes it as "eukaryotic LSU rRNA". It matches the Rfam family "Eukaryotic large subunit ribosomal RNA", at positions 378 to 874 of the family's 3401-position model. Lineage: Eukaryota; Metazoa; Arthropoda; Arachnida; Araneae; Linyphiidae. The record is from RNAcentral.